This 1413-nucleotide ribosomal RNA is filed under the name Lacticaseibacillus rhamnosus. Its description in RNAcentral is "bacterial SSU rRNA". It matches the Rfam family "Bacterial small subunit ribosomal RNA". The record is from RNAcentral. Lineage: Bacteria; Bacillati; Bacillota; Bacilli; Lactobacillales; Lactobacillaceae.
GCAGUCGAACGAGUUCUGAUUAUUGAAAGGUGCUUGCAUCUUGAUUUAAUUUUGAACGAGUGGCGGACGGGUGAGUAACACGUGGGUAACCUGCCCUUAAGUGGGGGAUAACAUUUGGAAACAGAUGCUAAUACCGCAUAAAUCCAAGAACCGCAUGGUUCUUGGCUGAAAGAUGGCGUAAGCUAUCGCUUUUGGAUGGACCCGCGGCGUAUUAGCUAGUUGGUGAGGUAACGGCUCACCAAGGCAAUGAUACGUAGCCGAACUGAGAGGUUGAUCGGCCACAUUGGGACUGAGACACGGCCCAAACUCCUACGGGAGGCAGCAGUAGGGAAUCUUCCACAAUGGACGCAAGUCUGAUGGAGCAACGCCGCGUGAGUGAAGAAGGCUUUCGGGUCGUAAAACUCUGUUGUUGGAGAAGAAUGGUCGGCAGAGUAACUGUUGUCGGCGUGACGGUAUCCAACCAGAAAGCCACGGCUAACUACGUGCCAGCAGCCGCGGUAAUACGUAGGUGGCAAGCGUUAUCCGGAUUUAUUGGGCGUAAAGCGAGCGCAGGCGGUUUUUUAAGUCUGAUGUGAAAGCCCUCGGCUUAACCGAGGAAGUGCAUCGGAAACUGGGAAACUUGAGUGCAGAAGAGGACAGUGGAACUCCAUGUGUAGCGGUGAAAUGCGUAGAUAUAUGGAAGAACACCAGUGGCGAAGGCGGCUGUCUGGUCUGUAACUGACGCUGAGGCUCGAAAGCAUGGGUAGCGAACAGGAUUAGAUACCCUGGUAGUCCAUGCCGUAAACGAUGAAUGCUAGGUGUUGGAGGGUUUCCGCCCUUCAGUGCCGCAGCUAACGCAUUAAGCAUUCCGCCUGGGGAGUACGACCGCAAGGUUGAAACUCAAAGGAAUUGACGGGGGCCCGCACAAGCGGUGGAGCAUGUGGUUUAAUUCGAAGCAACGCGAAGAACCUUACCAGGUCUUGACAUCUUUUGAUCACCUGAGAGAUCAGGUUUCCCCUUCGGGGGCAAAAUGACAGGUGGUGCAUGGUUGUCGUCAGCUCGUGUCGUGAGAUGUUGGGUUAAGUCCCGCAACGAGCGCAACCCUUAUGACUAGUUGCCAGCAUUUAGUUGGGCACUCUAGUAAGACUGCCGGUGACAAACCGGAGGAAGGUGGGGAUGACGUCAAAUCAUCAUGCCCCUUAUGACCUGGGCUACACACGUGCUACAAUGGAUGGUACAACGAGUUGCGAGACCGCGAGGUCAAGCUAAUCUCUUAAAGCCAUUCUCAGUUCGGACUGUAGGCUGCAACUCGCCUACACGAAGUCGGAAUCGCUAGUAAUCGCGGAUCAGCACGCCGCGGUGAAUACGUUCCCGGGCCUUGUACACACCGCCCGUCACACCAUGAGAGUUUGUAACACCCGAAGCCGGUGGCGU